This 262-nucleotide ribosomal RNA is filed under the name uncultured bacterium. Its description in RNAcentral is "partial 16S ribosomal RNA". It matches the Rfam family "Bacterial small subunit ribosomal RNA", at positions 524 to 776 of the family's 1533-position model. The record is from RNAcentral.
UACGUAGGGUGCGAGCGUUGUCCGGAAUUAUUGGGCGUAAAGGGUGCGUAGGCGGUUUGAUAAGUCUGAUGUGAAAUCUAUGGGCUCAACCCAUAGCCUGCAUUAGAAAACUGUCGGGCUUGAGUAUGGGGAGAGGUGAGUGGAAUUUUCCGGUGUAGCGGUGAAAAUGCGUAGAUAUCGGAAGGAACACCUGUGGCGAAAAGCGGCUCACUGGACCAUUACUGACGCUGAUGCACGAAAAGCUAGGGGGGAGCAAAACAGG